This 237-nucleotide ribosomal RNA is filed under the name uncultured bacterium. RNAcentral's name for it is "partial 16S ribosomal RNA". It matches the Rfam family "Bacterial small subunit ribosomal RNA", at positions 15 to 244 of the family's 1533-position model. The record is from RNAcentral.
GAUCAUGGCUCAGGAUGAACGCUAGCGGCAGGCCUAACACAUGCAAGUCGAGGGGCAGCGGGAUUGAAGCUUGCUUCAGUUGCCGGCGACCGGCGCACGGGUGCGUAACGCGUAUGCAACCUACCCAUAACAGGGGGAUAACACUGAGAAAUCGGUACUAAUAUCCCAUAACAUCAAGAGGGGCAUCCCUUAUGGUUGAAAACUCCGGUGGUUAUGGAUGGGCAUGCGUUGUAUUAG